RNA transcript from Lucilia cuprina (Australian sheep blowfly), 3760 nucleotides. It is a transcript of the gene named rab11 family-interacting protein 1, with no coding region annotated. The transcript is spliced from 7 exons. Lineage: Eukaryota; Metazoa; Arthropoda; Insecta; Diptera; Calliphoridae. The record is from RefSeq and is a predicted model, not a curated record.
GUGUUUCGUCGUCGUCGUUGUUUUAAUUUGUUUCUUCUACGGUUUUCGUUUUGUACGUUUUCUUAUUUAUUGUUUUAUUUCCAUAAUUAAUUAAUAAUCUAGAGAAAAUUUCAACAAAAAAAUAUAUUAUAAAUUUUAAUUAAAUAGAAAUAAAUUCGUGAUAAAUUAAAAAUAAAGAAAUUAAAACGUAUUAUAUAUGUGACAAGUGUUUGGAAAGAAAGAAGUGAAUAAUCUUAAGCAGUUAAAAAUAAAUGGUUUUUAAAAUAAAAAUACCUACCUAUAUUGUAUAUUAAUUACAAAAUUUCUUUGGAUGAUUCAAAAAGUAUAUGAAUAGAAGAAAAAAACCUCGGUGAAAACAAUCAGUAGAUCGCAUUCAGCUACUAAUACCAUAACAACAAAAAAACAGAAAAAAAUAAAACAUCAAAAAUAGUAACAUCAAGGUAAAUUUUAACCAACGAGAGGGAGCAAAACAACCAACCAACAACAACUCACGUAAAUAAACACUCAUACAUACUCAAAACAGCAACAACAAACACAUUUACAAUGUGGAGCCCAACACAUAUUAAAGUGACAAUAAAUUCUGCCCGAAAUCUAUUAUGCAAAGGCAAAAACAAUACCAACAAUUGCUUUGUAACGAUUGCCCUGGGCAAAGAGAAAUAUCAGACGUCGGUUAAGGAAAAGGCUGAAUCAAAAGUGGAAUGGAAAGAAGAAUGUGAACUUAAAAUUCCCGAUCAAGGCAAUCGUGCUGAACUUGUACUCACCUGUUUGCAUCGCAACAAUUUGGGUAUAGAUGAAUUUCUGGGACAAGUCACUCUGCCGCUUAAUGAAAUGGACGCCUAUGUACGCUCCAAGGCAAAAUGGUAUAAACUGGAAAGUAAACCGGGCAAAGAGAAAAAGAAUAAAGAACGUGGUGAACUAGAAGUGGAGAUAUCAUUCACUGUCAAAUCUGGUUCACUAACCGAUUUGAGUAAAAAAGAAAAACACAAGUCUUCCAUAGGACAGUUGGCUUCAUCGGUGGGUGGAAGUUUAUUGUCGAUUAGUACCAUUGAAAAGCGUAAGGGUAUUAAGAAAAUUGCCAAAAAAUUCGGGUCCAAACUGCAUCUGAGCGGUAGUGGUAAGAAAAAGAAUAAAGAUGAUGAUGACAUGUCAUACACGGGCUCCUUUGCUAGUAUUGGCACACCGAAUCGUGUCAGAGUGCCGGAUAGCGAUGAUGAGGAUGAGUUUCAAUUCGAUAAGUUGUCACAAAAGAGUUCGGUUAGUUCUCUAAAUAUACGUGAUGGUUUACAGCCUCCUUCCCAAAACUAUACGCCAAGAAAUCCUUCACCCCUGAUGGGUUCCACCGGUAAAGGUCAAAUAGGUAAGGAUCAUCACUACAGAUAUGAUGGAUCAGACAAUCUCAGUGUGGAUCCGGAAUUGGAAGAAAUUGAAAAUGAAUUUAGCAUAAGAGCGCGUACUUUACCACCUCCUUCGAAACCUCCACGCACACCUCAAAUGGAUGGAGGCGAAAGCAAAACAAAUGGCAAAAGCAACUCAGAAUUGGAUGAAUGGGAAUCUAAAUUAUAUGGACGUAGUGCUGAGUCUGGUAAUUCUGAUUCGUUAAAGCGCAGAUCCUGGGAGCCAGUGGCAGUGCCUUUAAAAACUACCAAUUAUGAAGAAGAAACAGAAAAAGAGUUACCCCUCACAGAACUAGAGCCUAUGAGUAAAUCUCUAUUACCCACUUUACAAGAAUCACAAACUCUCGAAUCAUUCUCUGACAGUUCCAGCAGCAGUGAUGAAGAAGUUGAGGCAGAAAAACCAAAACAAGUUAUAGCUCCUUUGAGACCAACAAGUGAGGAUAAAACCAAGGUAAUAACUUCCUCUCCAAUAAAACCCACUGAUCUCAAACUAUUGUCUCCAAGUGAAAAUGGUGAAAUGGUUAAAAAAGAUUCCCUACUCUCACCAGAUGUAGAUAAGAAUGAAUUUGCCAAAUUCAAUGCUUCCUUUGCUAAAUUUGAACAGAGAAACAGUUCAAAAUUCUUUGAUAUUGGUGAAGAAACAAAUAAUUUUCUUAAAAAUGAAUCUCUUACAUCUGGUGUCAACCAACCACAGCCCAAACCCAGAGCAAGAAUUUCACCUAUAGUGGAAAAGGAGGAUAAUAGCAAAAAAACUUUAGAGGAAGAAGAAAAACGCAAACGUGAGGCUGAAGAUGCACGUUUAGAAGCUGAAUUAAAAGAAAAUGAAAGACGUCUUAAGGAAGAGGAAGAAGCUUUACAGAAAGAAUUACGUGAGAAAGAAGAAGAGGAAAAGAGACGAGAAGCCAAACGUCGUGAAGAAGAUUUUAGAAUUUUAAAUUUCUCCAAACGUCUAGUGUCACAAGAAGAUAAAACCGAAGAAAAGCCACAAGAAAAAAUCAUUGAACCUUUGGUCAAUAAUAAAGAACAAUACAAAGAGGAAAAGAAACUAGAAAUCAAUAAUAAAAAAGAACGCCAAUUCAACAUAAACCGAGAAAAACAAACGAUUAGUAACGCCUCUACGCCUAGUCCCAAACAAAAUGAACGCAUUAUUAUAGGCCAUGAAAAAGCUACCACACAAGCGGAAAGACGUGCUGAAAUCUCAGCCGCCUUAGCGAAAAAAUAUGAAGGCAAAUCCAGAGAGGAACUUAUGCUUAUAGCCAAUGGCAUGGAAAAUGAAGCUUUAAUACAAAGACAACGUGUCAAAGAACUUGAAGAUUAUUUAGACAAUUUACUAUUAAGAGUUAUGGAAACACAUCCCAAAAUCUUACAAAAUCCUUACUCACGAACAACUUCUGCUAAGAGUUUUAAAAAUUACAUCAAUAUGAACGAUUUUUUGUAAGAAUGCUAAAAAAAUAAAGUAAGAAAAACAAACGAUGCACGUUAAAAAAAAUCAAAAAACCUACAUACAACCUACCUUGUACUACUACUACUACUAUGCAUGAACUCUAGGAAUUUAUGAACAUCACUGAAAAAAAGGCACCAACGGUUGAGAAUCAUUGUUACACUUCUGCUAAAACCAAUUAAACCAUCAUCACAAGUGAAAGAAAGAUGUUUUGAAUUCAUCACCAUAUUGCCUUUGAAGUGCAAAACUAAAGUGCUUUUAUUGUAUUUUGUUGAAAUCUAUGAUAUUUUUUUUAUAAAUUAAAUUUUUUCAAUUAAUUAACUAAACUACUACUAUUUUAAAUAAAUAACUAUAACAUAAUUACUAUUUAAUAAGCAACUAAUAUAACAGUUUUUUAUAAAAUAAACAAUGAAGGCAAUAUUACUAUUGUGACAAAAAACUAUUGUAACAAAAUUCUAUUUGCUAAUAAUUUUAAAAAUUUCUGAUUAUUACAAAAGUAUUGUUUCUUUUACUAAAUGUUAAAACUUUAAAGCUUCACUAUUUAUCUAUCACUUAACUUUCUUUAUCUUUAUAUAAAUAUGAUAAAAAAACAUCAACAAAAUUUCUUAAUUUUUAAGUUAUAGUUUAAUGUUAAUAAUAAUAAGAAUAGUAAAACAUUUAUAUUUAUUUUGUAAAACGCCCAAGAUACUAACAAGAGUUUCUGUUAAAAGCGUAACCUUAAAAAAACUUGAGAAUUAUUUUUUAGUUUUUAAAUACAACAGAAUUUGUGUUAAAUCUGGUUUUAUUAUUUCUUUUCUUAAAAAAAUUUCAUAAAAAACCCUAAAAACCAAUUAUUUCUUUUAUUAUUGAUUCUCUUUGUAUUAUUGUUAUAUUGUUUUUACUGAUUAUUAACUCUGUCUAUAUCUAAAUUUAUUAAAUAUUAUAA